AUGUUUAUCGCUGUAAAGGGGAAGAUCGUAACUGCAGAAUUUCGUACUGAGGUGGUAACUACAGCCUAUAGGGAGAGCUGUUGUGGUCAUGUGUCUUUUCCAUCGUCAGUUAGCUCUUUGUGGUCAAUUAUAAGGUUGGAUGUUGUUGUAUUCCUCGACUGCCUUUUCUUUUUUGGAUCAGUGGUAUAUUGUUUAAAAUGGAUCUACGGCUCAGUAAAAAUGCUCUUGUUUACUGUCAGUGUACAAAUGGUACUUUUUUGCCAGGUUAUGGUUGCCAUUAUGGCUCUUGAGAACCGAAGGUCUCGGAUUUCAGUUUUUGGGAUGAACGGGAUGAUGCCCUCAAGCAGAUGUGUAUGUCUUAAGGUCGAUAAGGAGAUGUGCUUGUCCUGA
This 390-nucleotide ribosomal RNA is filed under the name Triticum aestivum (bread wheat). Its description in RNAcentral is "partial small subunit ribosomal RNA". The record is from RNAcentral. Lineage: Eukaryota; Viridiplantae; Streptophyta; Magnoliopsida; Poales; Poaceae.